UUGCAUGUGGUGGCUUUACAGCCACAAGACUUCCACCUCUCGCCACUGAUGAGAUUGUGGACAUACAAGAUACAGCAUGCUAAAGUAAAUGUCAUGGAGUUAACAGGGCCACCAGUCUUCCAAGAACAGACUGUGUUGGUAGUAUAGUACUCCAACAUUA
Small nucleolar RNA from Pygocentrus nattereri (red-bellied piranha), 160 nucleotides. Ensembl annotates it as Small nucleolar RNA U109. Lineage: Eukaryota; Metazoa; Chordata; Actinopteri; Characiformes; Serrasalmidae. The record is from Ensembl.